UUGCGGAACCAUGUAAAACAACAACCUUCAUCUGAGUGGAGCCGAGCCUGGACCGAGCGACUGAAGAAGGCAACUGUAAAUAAUUUGGGUGAAUUUGCAUCUGGUGAAGGGUGAUCCGUAGGCACAGCCUCUGCCUAAACGCUUGUUGCCCCUCUUCCCUCCUGGCCCGCGGGGCUUGGAAAAGGCCUGCUUUAGGGUGUGCUCCAUUGGGUGGACCUCCUCGUACAGGAAUUCUUCUGUCAGACCAUCACCAUUGUCUAUUUCCAUCUACGCACACAAGAACAAAUGAGUUACUCAUAAAUUGUGGUGUCAAAGAUGACAAUAACACAACAGAGGGUUGAGGUGACUCAGACCUUCUUGGUGACCUCCAGCUGGUAGUCUCUCUCCACCUCAUCCAGUAGCCUGUUCUUACAGCUAGAGUAGAGCAUCCGUUCCUUGAUGCUACAGGUGUAGCCGGGCAUUGAAUAUAGGAACACUGGAACAUGAGGUCAUGAGGACAAGCAGAUGAUAGUUACUGCAUCACUGGAUCACAUCACAUGUACAACUGGGGAGGAAAAAAUAAACCCUACAAGAGCAUCCCGUAUAUUAAAAACAUGAGGACUAUCCCACAGUAGCUAUGAAAGGAAGACAUUAGUAACAUUUAGUUAAAUACAUAAAUGCAUCAUUGUUCACACUUGUUCAGCUGCUGUUACAUUCGGGUCGGGGAAGUUAAUAACUCUGCAGAAUGUUAUUUCUAAUUCCACUGAUGUUAUUCAGUGUAGAUUUUGAAUAUUUAUUCAUAACACCUUAAGGCCUCUAGAGUGGAAUACUAUUAGCAUACAUGCCACUUGGUAAAUGUACUCCAGCUUUCACUGUUCUUUUUGGGCCCUGGACCUGAAGGAUCCAGAUCUUAUUUUAUACUGUUUUUUUGUUUUGUUUUGUUUUUUUAUGCUGUCUUUGUUUGCUGUUACACAAAUCACAUAGACGAUGACUUUUAACUCUUGCUGUACUGUAAGGACAAUAAAAACAUUCUGAAAUAUC
Long non-coding RNA from Mugil cephalus (flathead mullet), 1020 nucleotides. RefSeq lists it as uncharacterized. The record is from RefSeq and is a predicted model, not a curated record. NCBI's taxonomy places the organism in Eukaryota, Metazoa, Chordata, Actinopteri, Mugiliformes, Mugilidae. The transcript has 2 exons.